AGGAAUAUUGGACAAUGGAGGAAACUCUGAUCCAGCCAUGCCGCGUGAAGGAAGACGGCCUUAUGGGUUGUAAACUUCUUUUAUACAGGAAGAAACCUUUCCACGUGUGGAAAGCUGACGGUACUGUAAGAAUAAGGAUCGGCUAACUCCGUGCCAGCAGCCGCGGUAAUACGGAGGAUCCAAGCGUUAUCCGGAAUUAUUGGGUUUAAAGGGUCCGCAGGCUGUUUGUUAAGUCAGAGGUGAAAGCCUACCGCUCAACGGUAGAACUGCCUUUGAUACUGACAGACUUGAGUUAUUGUGAAGUAGUUAGAAUGUGUAGUGUAGCGGUGAAAUGCAUAGAUAUUACACAG
RNAcentral lists this ribosomal RNA (350 nucleotides) under uncultured bacterium. RNAcentral's name for it is "bacterial SSU rRNA". It matches the Rfam family "Bacterial small subunit ribosomal RNA", at positions 357 to 704 of the family's 1533-position model. The record is from RNAcentral.